UAGUAUAAAAAUCACAAUUUU
Molecule: non-coding RNA, 21 nt
Filed under: Caenorhabditis elegans
Lineage: Eukaryota; Metazoa; Nematoda; Chromadorea; Rhabditida; Rhabditidae
Source: RNAcentral